Long non-coding RNA from Thamnophis sirtalis, 3138 nucleotides. RefSeq lists it as uncharacterized. The record is from RefSeq and is a predicted model, not a curated record. NCBI's taxonomy places the organism in Eukaryota, Metazoa, Chordata, Lepidosauria, Squamata, Natricidae.
GCGUGUCUAUUCCGUCAUUCUCAGCGUGGAGCAGUAGAUUGGGACUCCUUGGAGUAUCCUAGAGCGGCAGGACCAGGACAAAAUUUAACCGACAUGUCGGAGAAAAAUAAACCCGUAGAUUUGGGGCUUUUGGAAGAAGAUGACGAGUUCGAGGAGUUUCCUGCGGAAGACUGGGCUGGUUUAGAUGAAGAUGAAGAUGCACAUGUGUGGGAAGAUAAUUGGGAUGAUGAUAAUGUAGAAGAUGAUUUCUCUAACCAGUUAAGAGCGGAACUGGAAAAGCAUUGCUACAAGAUGGAAACUGCAUAGUUUCUAAUAGCUUCUACAGGUUUUCAGAAAUCGCCGCGGAACUAAGAGAGAAAUUUACUUUUGAAUAACUAACAGUGUCAAAAGUAAAAUGCUAGCUAUCAUAAAUGUCAUACAAUGUUGAUAUAUUAAUGUUAUCUAUUAAUAAAUAAAGAAUUUUUUUUAAAUGUUCAAAUUUCAUGAACUGAAAUUUUGUAUUUAAUAUAUUUUCAGAACAACUAUUAUAUUAGAAGACAAAAUUGAAGUGGAUGCUAAUCCCACAUGCUUUAGCUAUAUAUGUAUUGUUGAAAGUAAAUUUAUUUUCCAUGUUUACUUUCUAGUUGUAGUGCAAUAUAAUUUGCUAUUAAUAUUUUGAUUUAUAACCCAUUUUUGCUGCAAAACAAAGCUGCUGCUUUUAGUGGAAAUGAAGUCAAACAAAACGAUGCUGAAUUAAUAUAUGAAAUUGCUAGUUUUUAUGAUUGAGACAAGAGACAAACAUUUCUUAUUUUGCCAUGCAGUCAUAAUAGUGGGGACUACAUCAAGCAAAGGAACACGAAUAACCUAGUAUUAAUAACCAAAAACACUUAUUUAACAUUGUUCAGUUAAACAUUUCAGAAGAAAUAUUCUGACACUAUAAAUAUAUUUAUAUAUUUUACACUGCUGAAAAAGAAAACAAAUGAUUACUUUAGUAGGUUAGUCAUGAAUUUAUUACUUAAACUCAUGAGUCAUUUUAUAAAUAUAAAGCAAAAGUUGCCAUUGUUUUGAGAACCUAUAAAUGUUUUAAACUUUUUAAUACGUUUCACUAUAUGCAAUUUUAUAUUACAAAUAAUAUAUAAAGUUAUAAACAAUAAAGUAAAAAGGAUUUAAAUGCCACGAUGGCCCUUUAUAAUUUUUUCAAGGAAGUACUCAUGUAGAACAGUGUUCUUAGCCUAUGUAACUUUUAAGAUGUAUGGGCUUCGACUCCCAGAAUUUCCUAACCAGCAUGCUGGGAGUCAAGUCUACACUUCUUAAAGUUGUCAACAUGUAGAAACGUAGAAGAUACAUAGGAAGAUGGAUUGGUUUAUCAUCCAUGAAUGGAAGGAAGGUGAUUUCAAAUUGAAAAUUAAGCUUAACAAAAAUCUUUUUCAGAUAUCCAGAGAAGUGAUAAGUUGUGGUCAUGUAGGUUUAUAUUAUAUGUCCGGCUGUCUCAUCUAUACAUGAAACAAUUGGGUGGGUUUAAUUUCACACAAAUAGCAUACAGCAUUUAAAGUUCACUCCUAUCACUGGUACUUUUAACACAGCCCUCUAAUUGUCUGGCUGACUUCUGCUAUCAGAACCAAGGUGGCAACUUAGAAAACUUUUCUAGCUUAUAAUCAUAUCCAGCACUCUACAAACCAUUCUUUCUUUGAAUCUUUUUAAAAAUUAGAAAAGAGCAGAAUGUCAAUACACUUGAACUAGGAACAUGUAUGACUCAACAAGGAAAGGACUCAUUGAAUUAAAUGUCUACGAAACCUUAAAAUAUCCCCUGCACAAAGGAAUUUUACUUCAGUGGAAGCAUGUCCAAGCAAAUACAUAACUUUUUUUGUAAUAUCUGGCUUAUAUUGAUCCCUCCCUCAUAAAUGUACUAAAAAUUGGUUAUUGCAAAAUAUAAUGACUACAAAGAAGAUUGAUAGAAUCAUGAAGAAUGGUAGAAUCAUUGAAGACUUAAAUUUAAGGCCAUACUUAACCUUUUUACCUGUAUGUAUUGGUACUACAGGUUUCUUUUUUCUUCAUAAUUUUAAAUAACUUACCCAUUGAAAUUAUUAGCUUUGGGUAACACGCAUAUACCAAGUAAUCUUAAAACAUCACAAAUGAUUUAUAAACAUGCAGAUGGGACAUAACAAGAAUAAGAGCUGUUGAUUGAAAAAUAUAUGAAGAGAGCUGAAAUAAUAUGUUGGACAACUAUAAAUUGAAUACAGAAUGCUACAUAGAAGAGGGAAUAAUAAUUUUAAUUUUGUGUAAUGAAGGAAAAGUGUCCCCAAUAAACUGUUCUGGAACCAGUUUUUCUGGUCUUAAUUUUGCAGUGAAAGACAAAUGCCACAAGACUCAAAACUUUUGAUAAUAGAAAAUAUUACAAAUUGCUGUGAAUUGCUUUACUUGUACAGUUCUUGGUAUAUAAGUACAAAUCCAUAAUCGAUGCUAACUGCAAAUCUAUUGAACAUAUAUAUUGGAGAGAAAUUAUAUUGAUGAGCUUGGGAGUAAGUGAUCAAACAAAAUAGACAAUCUUGAGAUUGUUACUACAAUGAAAAGCAAAUACAGAAUUCCUAAAGAUUAAUUUCUUUUUAGUGAUUUAUAUAGGAGAUAAUGUAAACUAAGAUACUAGAGUUGCUUUAUAGAAUGGCAUACUCUAUAUGUAUGGAUGGCAUACAAAUUUAAUAAUAAAUAAAUUCCAAAUAUUAAACUCUCAUUACUUCUUUACUGUGGUGCUAUAUGUACCGUAGUUGGAAUUUUAUAUGUAGUUCUAAUAAACAUUAAAAGAAUAUGAGAAUCCAAAACAUGGGAUACAGUUGAAAUGCACGUGUGGACAAACUUGAAGUUUAUAAAGAAAUGUAAAUCUUGUCUAGAUCACAGAGACUUGGAAGUAUUUUAUUUGAUGUGCAUGUUGCAGUAAAAAUUCUAUACCCGCUUGCACCAUAACUAAAUCAUGAGCGACUAACCCCUGGAGUUUCACAGUCUGAGUCCUGAGUUUCUUUAAAACAGUAAUUCAGUGUCACCCUAUUAUCAAAUAUAAGGCCAGUCUUAAAUACCUUUCGUGGGGCCACCCUGUAAACAGCGAUGGACUGGCCUGCAGUGCUUCCACAAGUGAAAACGGACCUUGGGAGGGCCCGGCUGCAACGG